ACGCGCGGAACCUUACCAGGUCUUGACAUCCCGCUGACCGUCCUGGAGACAGGAUUUUCCCUUCGGGGACAGCGGUGACAGGUGGUGCAUGGUUGUCGUCAGCUCGUGUCGUGAGAUGUUGGGUUAAGUCCCGCAACGAGCGCAACCCUUGAUCUUAGUUGCCAGCAUUCAGUUGGGCACUCUAAGGUGACUGCCGGUGACAAACCGGAGGAAGGUGGGGAUGACGUCAAAUCAUCAUGCCCCUUAUGACCUGGGCUACACACGUGCUACAAUGGAUGGUACAAAGGGCUGCAAGACCGCGAGGUUUAGCCAAUCCCAUAAAACCAUUCUCAGUUCGGAUUGCAGGCUGCAACUCGCCUGCAUGAAGCUGGAAUCGCUAGUAAUCGCGGAUCAGCAUGCCGCGGUGAAUACGUUCCCGGGCCUUGCACUCACCGCCCGU
RNAcentral lists this ribosomal RNA (439 nucleotides) under uncultured bacterium. RNAcentral's name for it is "bacterial SSU rRNA". It matches the Rfam family "Bacterial small subunit ribosomal RNA", at positions 959 to 1397 of the family's 1533-position model. The record is from RNAcentral.